This is a long non-coding RNA of Homo sapiens (human), 2955 nucleotides long. Ensembl annotates it as CDH13 antisense oligodendrocyte and neuron associated lncRNA. Its record names the gene CEDORA. Lineage: Eukaryota; Metazoa; Chordata; Mammalia; Primates; Hominidae. The record is from Ensembl.
AGAGUUAGUUCAAUCUCUCUCCCUUAUUGUAGCCUUGAAUAAAGGCUUUGCCUUUCAAACUCUGUCCUGCCCAUUUUUCUUUGACAUGUUCAGAUGUUGGCAAGGCUGAAAACUGCAGGGGAUCUGGUUGUGAUAAUCCAGGAUUGAAAAUCUCCAACUGAAGGGCUUGGAGCAAGUUAACCCCGAGUCUUCACGGGAAAAAGAUAUCUACCUCCUAAUCCUGGAACUUGGGAAUGUUACUUCAUAGAGCAAAGACUUUGCAGAGCUGAGUUAAGGUCUUUGAGAUGAGAUUAUUUUGAGUUAUCUUGGGGUUGUUUGUGGUUUGCUAAAUGCAAUCAGAAGUGUCCUCAGGGGGAGGCAGAGGAGAUUUGAGACACAGAAAAGGAGAAGACCACACGACCGUGGAGGCAGAGAUUGGAGUGAUGUGGCCACAAACCAAGGAAUGCUGCAGCCACCAGAAGUGGGGAGUGGCAGGAAGGACCCUCCCCUAGACCUCUAGAUGGAACGUGGCCCUGCCAACGUCUUGGUUUUGACUCAGUUAGACUGAUUUUGGACUUCUGUCCUCCAGAACUGUGGGAGAAUAAAUUUCUAGCCUCCAUGUUUGCAAUACUUUGUUACCGUGGCAUUACUAAUUUAUUAUAGUAGGUAUAAUAUCCCCACUUACAGAUGAGGACUCUGAGGCACAAACCAACAGCUACGCAAAUCGUAGAGUCAGGACGUGGGCCCAGGUGGUCUGACCUUGGAGCUGCGACCCUGAACCCACACUCAAAACUGCUGCUUCCCAGCUAACUUAGUGACUCAGGGUGGGUGGUCAGCAGGUAUGUUUCACCUGAAGGAUCUUACUUCGAAGAAGAUACGAAUUCUGAGAAAAGGUGGCCUCUGAGGAUAGAGUUAAGUUGAAUCGAAGUGUGGUGGGUGGGAUUAUUCAGAUGUAGGUGGAAGCCAGAGGGAUGCCUCCUGUGUGGCCAAGGAGAAGAAGAACUGCCCUUGUCCAUGACUUAAAGGUCAUCUUGGGGGCUGCAAUGGGAUUGUUACCUGGGGGAGGCUGUGGUCACUGAAGAAGGGAUGGUCAACUUGGGUUGUUGAGAAGGGGAGCCAGGGAAUAAGAAAUUGCUGGCUGACAAAGGGAAUGGGCAUCUAUGCAGUCACCACAAGCCUCAUGGCGACCCAGGACAGACAGCAAUUCACCUACCACCCUCGCCUGGCCACCAUCCAGAGCCCCUCCGAGUGUUCCCAGCCUCUCCUGGAGUCUCAGAACCAAUCAUCUGGAGGUCUUUGGGCUUCCAGUCAGCAUUGACAGAUGCUCUGAUACAGCGCUGUUGUAAAUUUAAUUCACACAGAGGCGGUCUGGGUUGGUAUCAAUCCUUUUUGUGUUGGGGUCAUGUGAACUGACCUGAGAAUCAAAUCAAGUUUUUGUCCUGCAAAGUGGAUGUACCAGACCCCCAAACUGCAGAAGGACGCCAGGAGAGGCUCCUGCUGAUGCUUCCUGGAAGGCGUCUGGCCUGUUCUUUCCUAAAACAGCCUCGGGGUGCAGCCUCCCUUUAAUAUUAAUAGUAACACAGCUGCAGCAGCAUCGAGCCUUACAUUGCGCCGGCUGGACACCGCUCCAGGAGCUUCCAGCAUCUAUGCCUUCAGCCCUCACACCAGCCCUGGGAGGUUGAUAAUAUUAUUCCUCCCCUUUUACAGAUGAGGAACUGAGAGGCCUAGAGAUAUGUGAACUUUGCCAAGAUCAUUGGCUAAUAUGGGGCAUGGUUGGGAUUCGCAGGCUGGAUCUCUGGUGCCAAGGCCUGCUGUCACCCUCUGCUGCUUCCCCCCAGCCGUUCACAUUGCCAGCAUCACAUGAGUGUUAGAGUCAUGGACUCUGGAGAGGAAAGGACCUGGGUUCUAACAGUGAGCCUGGCAAGCUACUUCUCUGUGUUUCUACUUCCUCCUCUGUGACUCGGGGACAGUCCCAGUGGUGUUCUGGGGUAGCUGUGAGGGCAAACUGAAGCUGACACAAAGGGCUUGGUCUUGUGCGGGGCGCCCUCGGGGGAGCCGUUGCAGAGUCAGGCUAUGGGUGUGUUAAUGGCUCACUGGGGUCAUGGCCCUGUGUGUCCUCCCUGAUGUGACUCACACGGUCCCCUGGAAUGUUUCAGAAACAUCCGACUCAGCAGAGCCUAGGGGAACAAUGUUUUGAUGCUGCAACUGUGACAGGGGACAGAUGGGGAGAACGGAUGAGGCGAACGCAGGGCUUCCACAUGCCCUUGCUGCUGCAAUGAUCCUUUCACUAUUUUGUGAAAACAGAAGCGAUGAAUUACUCAUGAGAAUGAACUGCUUUAAAAACACCAGGCUUUCAUUUAAAGAGUCAUUUAUGCUUCCACCUGGCAAAUUUUUACUGUUUCAAGACCCCACUCAUACGUCUCCUCUCGUUCAUCCAGUGUGACUUUCCCAGUAGAAUUAAUCACCUCACUAGGUCUGUGCGAGGCACAUGCACUGGUAAAAAUGCCUUUGGGAGCCUAACACGGGCCCUGACGGCUCUGCCAUCUCCACUAAACUCUAAGCUCCUUGGUGUCAGGAUAGGUAAAAGUUGGUCAAUAGACACACAGAAUGCUUCCUUGGGCCCAGCUUGGUGCUAAACCCUUUAAGAGCAUCACUACAUUUAUUUUUGUGACUCAUGACAACCUGAUGAAGUGGGUAUCAUCCUUGUUUUAAGGUUGAGGUAACCAAGAAUCAGAGAGGCUUAGCAACUUGUCAAAAGCGGCCCAGUUAAUAAGAGACAGAGCUGGAAUGUAGCACCAGCAUGCUGGAUUCCAGGGGCUGGGCUUCUCGGUACACAGUGUUUUUCAUGCCUAAGGCUGGGGUGGUGUGCUCUGCACCCCCAGGGCCGAGUAGAGUGCCUGGACGCAGACGGUGCCCGGUAAAGGUUUAUUACAUCUUUUCUCCUUCUGUUGGAACAAUCAUGGGGAUGGAAAAAGC